RNAcentral lists this ribosomal RNA (460 nucleotides) under uncultured bacterium. Its description in RNAcentral is "partial 16S ribosomal RNA". It matches the Rfam family "Bacterial small subunit ribosomal RNA", at positions 338 to 795 of the family's 1533-position model. The record is from RNAcentral.
CCUACGGGGGGCAGCAGUGAGGAAUAUUGGUCAAUGGGCGCGAGCCUGAACCAGCCAAGUCGCGUGAGGGAAGACGGCCCUAUGGAUUGUAAACCUCUUUUGUCGGGGAGCAAAAGACGCCACGCGUGGCGUUCUGAGAGUACCCGAAGAAAAAGCAUCGGCUAACUCCGUGCCAGCAGCCGCGGUAAUACGGAGGAUCCGAGCGUUAUCCGGAUUUAUUGGGUUUAAAGGGUGCGUAGGCGGCCUUUUAAGUCAGCGGUGAAAGUCUGUGGCUCAACCAUAGAAUUGCCGUUGAAACUGGGAGGCUUGAGUAUGUUUGAGGCAGGCGGAAUGCGUGGUGUAGCGGUGAAAUGCUUAGAUAUCACGCAGAACCCCGAGUGCGAAGGCAGCCUGCCAAGCCAUGACUGACGCUGAUGCACGAAAGCGUGGGGAUCAAACAGGAUUAGAUACCCGAGUAGUC